CCGGCGGGAGCGUCGUUGCUAGGUGACGUCAGCGCGCCGGCCGACGCGCGGACGCGACAGCCGGUGUAGGAGGGGGGAGGGGGCCGCGCUCGAGCUCGCCAGCCCGGUGUAGGAUAUAUCACCAUCCUGCAAGAUGAGUAACAGCCAUCCACUCCGUCCUUACACAGCAGUAGGUGAAAUAGACCAUGUUCACAUUCUGUCCGAUCAUGUUGGUGUUCUGAUGAAUGGGGAGGAGUACAGUGAUGUUACCUUUAUAGUGGAAAAGAAACGUUUUCCUGCACACAGAGUGAUUCUGGCAGCGAGGUGCCAAUAUUUCAGAGCAUUAUUAUAUGGUGGAAUGCGUGAAUCUCAGCCUGAAGCAGAAAUCCCUCUCCAAGACACCACUGCAGAGGCCUUUACAAUGUUGUUAAAAUAUAUUUACACAGGCCGUGCCACAUUAAGAGAUGAGAAGGAGGAGGUCCUAUUAGACUUCCUGAGUUUAGCACAUAAAUACGGAUUCCCAGAACUGGAAGAUUCCACCUCUGAGUAUCUUUGCACCAUCCUUAACAUUCAGAACGUUUGUAUGACUUACGACGUUGCUAGUCUGUAUUUGCUUCCCAAGCUUACAUGUAUGUGCUGCAUGUUUAUGGACAGAAAUGCUCAAGAGGUGCUCUCCAGUGAAGGUUUUCUGUCACUUUCUAAGCCAGCUCUUCUCAGUAUUGUACUGAGGGAUUCAUUUGCAGCACCUGAGAAGGAUAUUUUCCAAGCUUUGAUGAACUGGUGUAAACACAACCCGAAGGAAAAUCAUGCAGAAAUCAUGCAGGCAGUGCGCUUGCCACUGAUGAGUUUGACAGAGCUCUUAAAUGUUGUAAGGCCUUCUGGAUUGCUGUCGCCUGAUGCCAUUUUGGAUGCUAUUAAAGUUCGAUCUGAAAGUCGGGAUAUGGACCUCAACUAUAGGGGCAUGUUAAUACCAGGUGAGAACAUUGCCACUAUGAAAUAUGGAGCCCAGGUAGUGAAAGGGGAAUUGAAAUCUGCUUUGUUAGAUGGAGACACACAGAAUUAUGAUUUGGAUCAUGGAUUUUCCCGACACCCCAUUGAUGAUGACUGCCGUUCUGGUAUUGAAAUUAAAUUGGGUCAGCCAUCGAUAAUUAAUCAUAUACGUAUACUGCUAUGGGAUCGUGAUAGCAGGUCUUACUCCUAUUAUAUUGAGGUGUCCAUGGACGAGCUAGACUGGAUCCGUGUAAUCGACCACUCCAGAUAUCUCUGUCGCUCUUGGCAGAAGCUGUAUUUUCCUGCCCGUGUCUGCAGGUACAUCAGAAUAGUUGGAACACACAACACAGUGAACAAAGUUUUCCAUAUCGUGGCUUUUGAAUGCAUGUUCACCAACAAAACCUUCACACUUGAGAAAGGCCUGAUAGUUCCCACUGAGAACGUUGCAACUGUUGCAGACUGUGCCAGUGUGAUUGAGGGCGUAAGCCGAAGUCGCAAUGCCUUGCUGAAUGGAGACACAAAGAACUACGACUGGGAUUCUGGGUAUACAUGCCAUCAGCUAGGCAGUGGUGCUAUCGUAGUGCAGUUGGCACAGCCUUACAUGAUUGGAUCAAUUCGGUUACUUCUCUGGGAUUGUGACGACAGAAGCUACAGCUAUUACAUUGAAGUUUCCACUAACCAGCAGCAGUGGACUAUGGUGGCUGACAGAACAAAGGUUUCCUGCAAAUCUUGGCAAGUAAUAACUUUUGACAGACAAGCAGCAUCUUUUAUCAGAAUUGUUGGAACUCACAACACAGCUAAUGAGGUGUUUCAUUGUGUACAUUUUGAAUGCCCAGCUCAAACUGCUGCCCACAAGGAGGAAGGCUGUGAGGAAGACAUGUGCACAAGUGGGCAGCAGCUGGCAUCCCGUCCACCUCGAGCUUCGAGUGCCAGCUCUGUGCACUCUCUCCCAGGAUCCACUUCACACCCAUGAGCUCACCAAGCCUAUAAAGAGCGCGAAUAAAAACAAGCAAUGAGCUUGGGGGUGCAAAGCCACAUCUUCUAGUGGGCAACCAUGUGGGUGCCACAUGCCAUUGAAUGCAAUCAGCCUGAAGAUCUUUACGAAAAUCGAAAAUGAUUGCAAGGGAAGAAUGUGUUGUGUAAUAGAUUAAUAACAAUACAGUAGUAUAUUUAAGCCAGUUCUGUUCCUCUUUAGCGGGAUAUGCUUGUUGCUUAACUGUCUCUUGUGUCCAUGCUAGUGGUGUCCCUGAAUGCAUCCCUUUACUUUCCUCCUCCACACUUGGGAGUCCACCCCACCCUGCCAUGACCAACUAUGAGAAUGUCCUUCCUUCCCCUUCUGAAGACAACUACAGGGUUGUGGGAAUGGGGCAUCCCUGUCCUACACAUUACUCAUGACAGGCAUGUGGCCAUUGAGUCACAUCCUCGUUUCCACACAAAGCAGGCCCAAACCGAUGUUUUACUGUGCAUGCACCAAGUUGUUGAAUGCUUGGGAGUGGGUGGGUAGUGUUUGUGUCAUUAAUUGUCCUUUUUAUGUGUGCAAGAACGACUUUUAUAUGCAAAGGGAAAUGUGUUCAUUCCUCGCUAGGAUAGAACGAUCGGUUUUGAAAACAGGAAUUCCCCUUGACUCAAAUAAAAAAUGGAUUGCCAGUUAGAAGCAGCACUGGAGAAUGCUAUAUGCAAAUAAAUAUUUUUUCACAAGA
Molecule: non-coding RNA, 2669 nt
Organism: Podarcis muralis (Common wall lizard)
Lineage: Eukaryota; Metazoa; Chordata; Lepidosauria; Squamata; Lacertidae
Source: RefSeq, a predicted model, not a curated record